GACGAACCGUGCGAACGUUGUUCGGAUUCACUGGGCUUAAAGGGCGCGUAGGCGGUCGACCAAGUCUGGGGUGAAAUCUUUCGGCUUAACCGGAAAAGUGCCCCCGAUACUGGCCGGCUAGAGGGAGAUAGGGGCAUGUGGAACUUCCGGUGGAGCGGUGAAAUGCGUAGAUAUCGUAAGGAAGACCAGUGGCGAAGGCGGGUCUCUGGACAGUUCCUGACGCUGAGGCACGAAGGCCAGGGGAGCAAACGGG
Molecule: ribosomal RNA, 253 nt
Filed under: uncultured bacterium
Lineage: Bacteria
Description: partial 16S ribosomal RNA
Rfam family: Bacterial small subunit ribosomal RNA
Source: RNAcentral